Macaca mulatta (Rhesus monkey) is the source of this 2472-nucleotide non-coding RNA. NCBI's taxonomy places the organism in Eukaryota, Metazoa, Chordata, Mammalia, Primates, Cercopithecidae. The record is from RefSeq and is a predicted model, not a curated record.
GAAGGUUGAAUGGCAUUCUGGGAAAUGUAGUUCACCGACGCAUAAAGUGUUGUUGAGGGCGUGGUGUGAGCCAGGUUCUAGGGGCGGCCGGGGCUUCCGGUAAAGGGGCCGGCUUCUACUGCUGCUCCGACAACGUUCCAGCUGCUCCGCUCGCAGCUCCAGCCAGCUUAGUGACCUGUUAAGAAGAUGGCACCACGAUUGUAAUGCAAUGAAUGGAUGUGGGAGAAAUGAGACAGACAAUAGGUCAUUUGGCUGUAGUAUUGCCAACCUACGGUUCUCCAGGACUGGUUCAACUGGAAGGCCAAUUAUUCUAAUCCUUUCUCAUGGCUCUGUGUGAUGAUCCCCAAAGCUGUCCAUUUGGCCAACAAGGAAAAUCUACCUAUACAACAGACAUCCUUUAGUAUCAAACCGAUACUGACACCACUUAUAGGAACCUGACUGGGCUGCCCUUUAUGUGAGUAUAUGCCAGAAGAAAUACUAAAAACAAGUCUUCAGGGAGAACAUACUUCUUUGGGCUUCAAAUCAAGUUAACUGAAGGCGCAACAUCUGAGAGCAAUAGCAGACAAGAUACAUCCAAAGAUAGCUGAAUGAACUAACCAGUUGAAUUGGAUGCUGACCGUGUUGGCCAAAGUGAAGACUUUAGGUUGACGCCACUGAGUUGGCAGUUUUUCCCUUUACUCAUUGGCUCAAAGUUUCAGCUCCAAUUUGAGAUCGCUUUUAGAUUGGGAUUGUGAAUUUUCACUACGUUUUAAAAUGUAGUCAAUCGGCAGCACAAGAUGCAAGCUUCACCCCUGAGUGACACACAUCCCUAAUCUACUAGAGGUAGAUCAAUGCCAAGGGGCAGCCAUGGUUCAUCUUCUGGACUGCCAUCUUACUUGAAGUUUUGAAGAAAUAAUGAUUCCUUUUAGCUUCCGUCCCACACAGACAUAUUGUGAAAAUGCAAAAGUAUACAUGAACUUAAAGAUAAAAUGAGAAAAGAAAGGGAGCCCCUUUGGUGCAUAUUUCUGACAUCCCAUAGGGUCUGUGUUUAUUCUUCCCUGCCACUGGAGAGAGAAAGUUUGAGAAGGAAGAGCACAUGCUGUGACAUCAGCCUGGGAUUCAAACUCAUCUCAACCUCUCAUUGACAGUGUCACUUGGGGGAAUUUGCCUAAACUCUCUGAGAUUUACUCAUAUUUAAAAGGAGGAAACCAAUAUUUACCUGAAAUGUUGCCAUAAAUUAAAAAGAGUGUGGUGGCAAAAACCUUCCUCUCCAUGCCUGGCUAGAUGGUACCCUCUCUUCAUUGUUCCUAUCACCUAAAAUUCUGUCAUAAUCACUUAGAUAUAAGUUUAAAAAAGGAGGAGGAAUAGGAGAUAUGCACUCAGGUUUGCUGCUCAAGAGCUAACUUUUCCUCUAGUUCUUUCACAAUGAUGCUGUCAUAAAGGCUGGGAAGAAGUCUACACUGAUAACGCAGAGUACAUCUCAUAUGUGGCUCCUGUCUAAUGUAUCAGGCCCAGAAAGUGCCUUAGAUUGCUUCUAUUUUCUCAACUGGGUGAAGCUGAGUAAAAAUUGUUAAAUAAAAGUGCUAUCCCAAAGUGCUAGCUUGAAUAACUCUACAAAGAGUAGGGCAGGAGGGUGCAUGAGAGGCCCAGUCAGGGGCUCCCAGGCAUUGUGGUGGAGUAAAGCAGUAAGGGACAAAUAGGAUGACUGCAGAAGAAUCUCUGGAAAUACGUGGAGACAGUUGGGGCCAGGGACUUCGUUGCUAUUCUGUCAUCUGUGUCUAUCUGGUAUCUGAGGGUAACUGUAGUGUGGAAGUGAAAUGGGACAAAAUGGUGGUGACAGGGAAGUGAUCUCAAGAGCAGUGAUAAUGGAAACUUCUUCCACUCAGGUGCUUCAUAGAUAAGGGCUCUUUGCAAGCUGGGAGUUUGUAAUGUGGGGACUACUUAAAGAGCAGUUUGUUCGAUGAUAUUUACAUUAUUUGCAAUUAAUUUAAAUGAUUUGUGCAAAUAUGAAAUUCUUCUAUUAAUGAUUUUGUCCUGAGUGCUAAGCAAACCAAGAACACCAAAACAAGGCAAUACUCUAAAAUUAUCAUUAACCUGUUCUUCAUUCUUUCAGCAAUACUUAACAUGUCCCAGGCACUGGGAAUAUAAAAUGAAAAGCCCAGUGUCUGCCCCCGGGAAUAUGUAUUCUGCCUAAGACAGUAUAAGACAUAGUCAUUCACUUUUUAAAAGUAUAUAUGAAUAUGCAAUGUUUGUCUUUCUGUGCCUGGCUUAUUUCACUUAACAUAAUGAGGACAUAGAGAGUUGAAGGAUGGUGAGCAAAGGCUAGGAAGGGUAGUGGAGGGCUGGGGGAGAAGAGGGCAUCAGUAAUGGGUACAAAAAAGUAGACAGCAGGAAUGAAUAAGACAUACUAUUUGAUCUCACAACAUGGUGACUAUAGUUAAUAAUGAUUGUACAUUUUAAAAUAAAAGAGUAUAAUUUGGAUUGUUUGUAACA